Long non-coding RNA from Oncorhynchus nerka (sockeye salmon), 775 nucleotides. RefSeq lists it as uncharacterized. The transcript has 2 exons. Lineage: Eukaryota; Metazoa; Chordata; Actinopteri; Salmoniformes; Salmonidae. The record is from RefSeq and is a predicted model, not a curated record.
UUGAAGUGUGCAAUAACUCAAUUUGCCAUUGCGCGACACUAAACAACGGCAACGGGUCAAAUCUACAAAAUUAUAGUUUUGGGAACAGAAAGCUGUAUUGGCAUCAAAUGUUUAAUCGAUUAGAAAAUGUGCAGAAUUUCGGCGGCCUUAUUGAUUUUCCCACUGGCUUCCAGUGGAAAUUGCCAAGCGGAUGCUUUCACAUGUAUAGAUCGGGUAAAAUAUCUUAUUAUUCUGUGGUAAAAAUGGUUCUAACGGAUUCGGUGAGAUUUCGGCCGGUGUGUUGACUGGGUACAGUAUGCGCUCUGGGAGUGAUUAUUCCUACUUACGCGUCCUCGUGUGGAUCCACUCCCUCCUGAUAGUCGAAGCUGAAGUCUUCGUCUGCAAGAUCAACAACAGGAUCUGGGAGUAACCAUGGAGGAACGUCCCCUAUUACCACAGAAGGGCCAUCUUCCAACUCCCUCAAACCACUUCUCAUCAGCAAGCUUUCCAACUGUCCAACCAAAACCACUGCUUUGCCUACUAGUAUAUUCCCAACUAGAACAGUAGCAGUGGUAUUCACAGCCUUUCAACCUAACCGAAUAAGCUAAUGACAAUGUUUUUAUGCCAUAAAGUACCAGUUAAAAGUUUGGACACACCCACUCAUUCCAGGGUUUUUCUUUAUUUUUUACUAUUUUCUACAUUGUAGAUUAAUAGUUAAGACAUCAAAGCUAUGAAAUAACACAUAUGCAAUCAUGUAGUAACCAAAAAAGUGUUAAAUAAAUCAAAAUAUAUUUUA